This 480-nucleotide ribosomal RNA is filed under the name uncultured bacterium. RNAcentral describes it as "bacterial SSU rRNA". It matches the Rfam family "Bacterial small subunit ribosomal RNA", at positions 227 to 724 of the family's 1533-position model. The record is from RNAcentral.
GAGCCUGCGUUUGAUUAGCUAGUUGGUGGGGUAAAGGCCUACCAAGGCGAUGAUCAAUAGCUGGUUUGAGAGGAUGAUCAGCCACACUGGGACUGAGACACGGCCCAGACUCCUACGGGAGGCAGCAGUGGGGAAUAUUGGACAAUGGGGGCAACCCUGAUCCAGCAAUGCCGCGUGUGUGAAGAAGGUCUUCGGAUUGUAAAGCACUUUCGACGGGGACGAUGAUGACGGUACCCGUAGAAGAAGCCCCGGCUAACUUCGUGCCAGCAGCCGCGGUAAUACGAAGGGGGCUAGCGUUGCUCGGAAUGACUGGGCGUAAAGGGCGUGUAGGCGGUUUGUACAGUCAGAUGUGAAAUCCCCGGGCUUAACCUGGGAGCUGCAUUUGAUACGUGCAGACUAGAGUGUGAGAGAGGGUUGUGGAAUUCCCAGUGUAGAGGUGAAAUUCGUAGAUAUUGGGAAGAACACCGGUGGCGAAGGCGG